UCAAGAGCAAUACAUAAGUAAGAGAGACACCACAUAUUUAUCCAAAACUGUAAGGUGAUAGGUGUAUGGACCCUCUCACUUAUAAAGUUCUCAACCUCCACUUUUCUAAGAAAUAUGACACUUCCAACUCACACUUGUACACAACAAUCUCCCCAAGUGUGACUUCAUCCAUUAUGCUCUUCCUCAAGCGGAAACUAUUUCAUCCACAUACACUUGUACCGUCGUUGGGAGCACUACAAC
This 240-nucleotide long non-coding RNA is filed under the name Lathyrus oleraceus (garden pea). RNAcentral describes it as "Pisum sativum (pea) long non-coding RNA (PSAT_LNC026461)". The record is from RNAcentral. Lineage: Eukaryota; Viridiplantae; Streptophyta; Magnoliopsida; Fabales; Fabaceae.